This 480-nucleotide ribosomal RNA is filed under the name uncultured bacterium. Its description in RNAcentral is "SSU rRNA". It matches the Rfam family "Bacterial small subunit ribosomal RNA", at positions 26 to 518 of the family's 1533-position model. The record is from RNAcentral.
AGGACGAACGCUGGCGGCGUGCUUAACACAUGCAAGUGGAGCGACGAACCAGGCUUCGGCCUGGGGCAGAGCCGCGAACGGGUGAGUAACACGUGGGUAACCUGCCCUGAUGAUUGGGACAACCCGAGGAAACUCGGGCUAAUACCAAAUGUGCCCUUUGACCGCAAGGCCACUGGGGAAAGGAAGCUUCGGCCUCCGCAUUGAGAUGGGCCCGCGGCCCAUUAGCUUGUUGGUGAGGUAACGGCUCACCAAGGCUUCGAUGGGUAGCUGGUCUGAGAGGACGAUCAGCCACAUUGGGACUGAGACACGGCCCAAACUCCUACGGGAGGCAGCAGUGGGGAAUAUUGGACAAUGGGCGCAAGCCUGAUCCAGCCAUGCCGCGUGAGUGAUGAAGGCCCUAGGGUUGUAAAGCUCUUUUGUGCGGGAAGAUAAUGACGGUACCGCAAGAAUAAGCCCGGCUAACUUCGUGCCAGCAGCCGC